RNAcentral lists this small nuclear RNA (135 nucleotides) under Sinocyclocheilus grahami. RNAcentral describes it as "U1 spliceosomal RNA (ENSSGRG00000052300.1)". It matches the Rfam family "U1 spliceosomal RNA". Rfam says of the family: U1 is a small nuclear RNA (snRNA) component of the spliceosome (involved in pre-mRNA splicing). Its 5' end forms complementary base pairs with the 5' splice junction, thus defining the 5' donor site of an intron. The record is from RNAcentral. Lineage: Eukaryota; Metazoa; Chordata; Actinopteri; Cypriniformes; Cyprinidae.
AUGCUUACCUGGCAGGGGAGACACCAUGAUCAAGAAGGUGGUUCACCCAGGGUCCUUAACGUCUGUUCUGGUUUAGAGUAUUAAACAGAACAACUCUUUGGUGCGAAGGAAUACAGUUCGUUUUGAGCUCCUUGA